UGGGCCGACUAGCAAGAACACCCGGAAACUGCAGAAGGGCCGACCGUGACGGUCCCAGAGGGACGACUCUGCGGUGCGCGGUUCUGGUCCGCGCUUCCUGCUCAGUGUCCAAGUUGCCGCGCGCUGAUAGGAGUGCGCUGUAGCUCUCAGAAACAUGGGCCAGAAAAGACGUUGAGGACCUUUGCACGGUGCUAGGAGCCUUCAGGCUUAAAUACGAUGUGUUUGUAUUAUUGGGGCCCGGAGACAAUGUACAGGAAUACAUAGGUCCAACCCUAAGUCCAUAAGCAGUGACUCGCUUUAUGAAAUAGGUGGAUUCUAACAAAGGUCGUAUAGUUUUAAAGCUAGAACUGAGUUCAUUAUCUUCUCCAGUUCCAUCCCGCCUCUUCCUUCAGUAAAUGCACCAGCAUUGAAGGUGAACGCUCAGAAGUUUCCUUUGGUAGCCCUCCGUGGUAACUUCCUGUUUGGCUGUUUGCCCUUCUGAACAUUGAGCUCCUUGAGAGCUGGGACUGUGACCUCCUUCUGUAUCAGGAGAAUCUACCCAGUGCCAGGAGGAAUACGCCUACUGUGGAAGUGACAUGGAACUAGAAGGCAGCAUGGUUUCUCCACCAGUUCAGGUGGGAGCAUCACUGACCUAUUCUCCCCACCUUUUAUGGAACUGACAGUCACAAGUGAGAUCUCUCCUGUGAGUACAGCAAUUCUUCCACAGUAAUUGAAAUGCAAAGAGAAGAGGUGUCAUCUGGAAGAAUAAGCCAUCUGACUGCAGAAAAAGGCAAAAGGGAAAUAUACAGGGGUGACCCUACUGUCAUGGUUGGUUGGCUUACAGUGGGGAAGAAAUCAGGACUGCAUGAUGGAUCCACUUGAAGCCAUUAAGAAUGACUGGGUCCUACUAUUCUAGCCUUGAGCCUGCAGUGCAAGCCCAGAGAUGAGAAAAAGGAAGAAAAAGAAAUAAAAUAUAUUUUUAAAAUGAUAAUAUUCCUGUUCUCUGCUCACCCUGGAGGCUUAUUUUGAAAAUCACAGUGAUUUAACUUGUUAGCAGUUUAAUUCACUUUUAAAAGAUUAACCAGACUAAUUAUUCAUCAAAUUUCACCAUCUUUGUCAGCCUCAAUAAGGAUCCUUUGUUACGGUGAUUAAUGUGUUUUAAUUGUAGCUUCUCUCAGAGCAAUAAUUCGAUCGCACAGUAUUUGCCGAAUCUAUGGAAAUCUUGGAAAUGCUUUGACAGGUGAGCUAUUCUUGAGAAAUGAAAGUAAAGGAAUAUAUGUAACUAACAAAAGGUGUUUUAUAGCGUAUCAUUAAUAUGGAUUUUCCUUUCUGACAGACCUUACUGUAUUUCUGUCCAUGAAUCUGCUUACUGUACAUGUCUAUUUGCCAUCCAAGAACUAUCAGGAGACUAAACUUUCUCCAAUUGAUGCCCUUAAACAUAUGUUCAUCAUAGUAGUAACCUCAGAAAUACAGAGCCACAUGGAAACUUAAUUGACUGGCCAGUGUCCAUAAAUAGCCAUCCAAUUAAGAGCCUGGAUUCUGUGUUGAUCACUCUAUUGCCUACCCAAGGCAUCAUCUUCAUUCAUUUAACUGAUGGCUACUGUCCAAGUUUAGUAUUUUUACAGCAUCAAAAAGGGACCUGUAGAACCUGGUAGAGAGACAAAUUGUAUGUGGCAUAUACUAAUUUUGAAGUUUAAAUGUAUUUUAAUGGUAUUAUUUUUUAAAGGACAGCUGUCUUAAGACCUUUGGUGUUAGACAGAUCUGGAGUUGAUUGUUGGCUCUGCCUCUUAUUAGCUAUGAGAACUUGGGUAAAUUAGCAGUAUCUAGCCUCCCUGAACCUCGGUUUCCUCAUCUCUAAAAUAGGUAUAAUCAUACCCACCUCAUAGAGGAUUAAAAUUCAGUAUUACAUGUAAGACCUAGUAUACUGCCUGGAGUGUAGGAAUAAAUUACUUUUAAUUUUAAAAAAUAUUUUUUAAAAAGCUAUAAGCCUUUCUAGUUUAAGAAAAUCACAUAUACACGAGCAUCUCUGGUUCUCACAAUAACCCUGAGACAAGUAGGAAAGGUCUGCUGCUGUUUUUCACAGAUGAGAAAACUGGGCACAAGGAGAUGCAGAAUCUAGGUAAAUAUGUCAUUUAUGUUCAUGAACCAACUACUCAAUCAAGUGCAAAGGUUCUCUAACACCCACAGAUGCUGAUACCUAGUCCAGUGUUUCUUCAGCUGCAACCAAAGAAGCACCAAGGGCUCUGAAUUAGUAAAGUGAUGAGAACAGAAUAGCUAAUUCAUUAUUUGUUGACCAGUAUUAGCCCCUUUGUUGGGAUCUAUACAUCAGUAAUAGCAAACAGUGCCAGGCAUUAGCUCAUUUAAUUCAUAUACCCAUAAAAGGAAGUACAUAUCACUCUUUUUACAGCUGGGGGACACUGAGACUUGGAGAUACUAAAUAACUUGCUUGACAGACAAGGUCUGUCCAACUACAGUGUCUUUGUCUUAACCAUAUACUAUUCUGCCUUUUGCCCAUCUCACUUUAUAAAAGACUGUUUAAAAAAGGGAGCGUUUUUAGACCUGUGAGGUCUGUAUAUAGUAACCAAUUACCAUACUUUAAAUUACUGUCCUAGUGGUUUGGGUACCAUGACUCAAAAUUUUCUUUAAGCUUCUAAACCAAAGGUUGGGAAUACUGUUGUUCCUUCAGUUGAGGAAUAGCAUUGGCUGUGAAAAAGAUUUAUAUGUUCAAAUAUUAGCAGGUAAAUUAUUCUUUGGGUAUUCAUAAUACAUGGUUGUAUAGUGAAGGUUCUGAGAAAUACUAUGGUUUUAAAAAUUGUUUUUCUGUUAAACCUGAUUCCAAAACCUCUUUGACCACAGAACCCUUCUUUUUAGGUACAAUCACUAAGAACUCAUGGCAAGCCAUUUAGGUUCAUUUAAGUAGUAAUCAUGGCCAAGUUUAAGGAGUACUUAAUAUAUCCCAAACACUGAUCUCAGAAAUUCACAUGCAUUCAUUCAUGCUAUAGUACUCCCUUUUUUUUGGUAUUAUUAAUGUACAAUUACAUGAGCAA
Long non-coding RNA from Manis javanica (Malayan pangolin), 3026 nucleotides. RefSeq lists it as uncharacterized. Lineage: Eukaryota; Metazoa; Chordata; Mammalia; Pholidota; Manidae. The record is from RefSeq and is a predicted model, not a curated record.